AUUGAACGCUGGCGGCAUGCUUUACACAUGCAAGUCGAACGGUAACAGGGUGCUUGCACCGCUGACGAGUGGCGAACGGGUGAGUAAUGCGUCGGAACGCACCGAGUAAUGGGGGAUAACGCAGCGAAAGCUGUGCUAAUACCGCAUACGCUCUGAGGAGGAAAGCGGGGGACCUUCGGGCCUCGCGUUAUUCGAGCGGCCGACGUCUGAUUAGCUAGUAGGUGAGGUAAGAGCUCACCUAGGCGACGAUCAGUAGCGGGUCUGAGAGGAUGAUCCGCCACACUGGGACUGAGACACGGCCCAGACUCCUACGGGAGGCAGCAGUGGGGAAUUUUGGACAAUGGGCGCAAGCCUGAUCCAGCCAUGCCGCGUGUCUGAAGAAGGCCUUCGGGUUGUAAAGGACUUUUGUCAGGGAGGAAAUCCUUAGCGCUAAUACCGUUGAGGGAUGACAGUACCUGAAGAAUAAGCACCGGCUAACUACGUGCCAGCCGCCGCGGUAA
This 500-nucleotide ribosomal RNA is filed under the name uncultured bacterium. Its description in RNAcentral is "partial 16S ribosomal RNA". It matches the Rfam family "Bacterial small subunit ribosomal RNA", at positions 30 to 523 of the family's 1533-position model. The record is from RNAcentral.